This is a non-coding RNA of Podarcis lilfordi (Lilford's wall lizard), 14400 nucleotides long. The record is from the annotation of a GenBank genome assembly. Lineage: Eukaryota; Metazoa; Chordata; Lepidosauria; Squamata; Lacertidae.
CCCAUCCAUCUGGUCCAUCAACCUGGUGACCUUGUAUCCGAGGCUCUUAAGUCUUUUCCAUGUCCCUUCCGCAGGUCUUCUUCAUGUUUAUACCUGUACUUUACUUUGUCUUCUGCUGAUCUUAUUCUUAAUUUCCUUCCUUUCACUCGGGGAGACUCCAACUUGACAAUAUCUUUGUCCCUUCUCGACAAGUCAGCCCCUUUUCCAUAGUCAACACUGAAAUCCAUAUGAUAUUUAAAGGCAUGUUUCAAAGUCCCUCCAAAGUUAAGGGCCCCCACAACUCCGAACUCCCCCCGGCCCAAAGCCAGACUUGAAAGGUCAAAACAUCCCUGCAUAGGGGGAUCCAUCCAACCCCCCAUCUCCAAGCCAAACAGAACUCCAUCUCUCCAAAUCUGACUUUUUCCAGGUUCAUUCGUCAAAUCCAACAACUCAUGUUCCUGCUGGGCCACAGCUCUCUCCAUUUCUGCUACUUGAGGUUCAGCAACAACCUCCUCCUUUAUCUGAUCUGUCAAAGCACAUUCCUGGAUUAAUUCCUGAGUGGGUUCUAUAUAGGUACCCACUGCCUGUCCAAAAUUUCCGACCACAACAGUCAUCAAAUCCAUCUUCUCAUGUAACUGUUCCAAUAAAGCGCUUGUCUUGCAAAAAGCAAGCACCAAAGCCUCCUCUAAGCACAUUCGAAGUCUGGUCCCACAAUCUUUAAUCUCUACAGCUGCAAAGCUCCCCAGUUCGACUUUAAUAACAGUUUCACAUGCUCCCUCUAGGGGAAGCAAUUUCUAUUUGUAUCCAUCUUUUUUUUUAAAAAAAAAGCAGAUCUAGCAACAAAGUUUUCCUUUUUCGGAUAUUUUGUUCCUUUUAAAUGCGAAAGGGAACAAUGGAAUCAAUAUGUUUCUCUUUUGACUAUCUGUCAAAAACGUUUGUCCAUAGUCAAUGAACUUCCCCAAAACGUCUGUCCUGACACCCCGCUCCCAGGUUCAAGACGGUGGAAAUUUACCUUUCUUUACUCUCUCUUCUGCAGGUUUAAACAGUCUAAAAAAGGUUCCCCCCUCUUCUCCUGCUUCCAAGGGGGGUUCAGUAAUUUUAAAUGAUGAAAAUUUAAUCCUUUACAAACAACUUUCCAGACUCUAGCUUACGAUGUCUUUGCUUCAAACUGUUUACAAAAGCGGAAGGCGGACUUCCUGUUUAGACCUUCCCGCUCCGGUGCCAAAUUACGAAGUUUAGUAAUCCAAUUUUCCGUUCUACUCACGGGUACUUGUUUAGAGUCCAAUUGUCCACAGGAAAAAAGUCAGCGCUCUCCAACAACAGCAAUGCGGCUUCACUCCGUGAAUAGAGCAGUCGAUUCGAAGCACCGCGCCGCUCACCCCACGUCGCUCCGGAUCCCCGUAGCCGAGUUUCCCCGCGAGUAGGGGAGGCGCUAAAGGUGUCAGCCGAAUCCCAGGUACACAGGCUUCUCCCGCCUGUGGUUUUUGAUGGGUCUCCGCCUCGCCGUGGCGGUCCAGACCCUAAUUUUCACGGAGCGGGUUCCUCCAGAUCAGAGGAAGCCCACCAUCGCCGGUGGCGCUAACCCGGAAGUCCUCUGCUUCCCCCACAAUUCAAGGUCAUGUGUGUAUUUCCCUGCUUUGUUUGAUUGCUGUAUUUAUCUUCUGUACCUGAUGGUUUUAUUGUACCCCUGUAUAUUUGUUGUAUUUUAUCUUAAACUUAAAGGUGUUGUUUAAGUAACUGUUAGUAAAUAAUAAUACUGAACAAUGAUCAGUGAUCCUUUCCAGCAUGAGCUUAAAUUAGGCCUGAACAUGGAGGGACACAAUUACAAGCUGCGCCACAAGAGGAAAAAGGGGCUGGAAUAAUUUCAUGGCAAUGUGUUGUUAUAAAAUUGAAAACUCACCCUGAAGCUGCUUAAACUCAACUUUACGCACACAUAGGGUAUACCCUUUGGUAAAUAUGUUUAGGAUUGAAGCAUAAAUCACUUCUCAAUUCAUUUUUGAAACUUACCAUACGGUUAUAUCGAAACCUGCAAUGGGUAUACGGAGUGAAGAAUUUUGCUACAUUCCAUUAGCUCUGCUGGGUUCAAUGGAAUAAAUGCAGCAAACAAUUCACUAGCAGAUAAGGGUAAUGAGAGACCUUGCAGGGGAUGGAAAUCUUAGGAACGCACAGAAUGGGCAGCAGUUUGCAGUUAUUGGUUAAAUGAGCCACUGAUGCAAUUCCAAGCGCUUACUGUUAACUAAGCAUUUGUGUCUUUAUUGUAUUAUAUUUUUAGCCAGCUUCCUUCUUCUGUGGAGGUUUUUUUUUUUUUUUUGCCAGCAGUUCUAGCUUUGUGUCUGAAGUGCCAACAAAGCUGUUAGUUUGAGCAAAUUGUUUUCGGUGACAACCUUUAGAUUAAGAUCAUUUCAGACUUCCAGUAAGGAACACACACACACACACACACACACACACACACACACAUUUUGACCUUUGUCUGCCCAAGAUAAAGCCAAAGAAGAGAUAAAGAAAAAGAGGCAAAUUAGAAUGGAAUGAAAUGUAAGAUCUAGAUAAAUAUCAGCAUUAAGAGUUUGCUUUCCUGCAUGAUUUUAUACACCACCUUUCUUUAUCUCUAAAUGAAACCCCUGCCCCAAUGCUAAUCUUACCUCACCUGGGAGUUCCUCCAUUUUUUUAUUUAUUUAUUAAAUUUAUAUACCACCCUUGAACUGAAGAUCAGAGGGCCGUUUACAAUAUAAAAACACACAAAAAUACAUAACAUAGUAACAAACAAAAACAAUACCCCUCCGUCAGUUUAAAAUGCCAUAGAAUGUUUAAUUACCCAAAGGUCUAGGAGAAGAGGAAUGUUUUUACCUGUCAUCUAAAUAUACGUAAUGAAGGCGCCAAGUGAACCUCACUGCAAAAAGCAUUCCACAAACAGGGAGCCACCACAGAAAAGGUCCGUUCUCGUGUUGCUGCCCUCCAGACCUCUCACGGAGGAGGCACACAAAUGGCCUCAGAUGAUAAUCACAGGGUUAGGGUCAGCUCAUAUGGGGAGAGGCAGUCCUUGAGGUAUUGCAAUUAUCACUUCUACUAUUUGGGUUCCCCUUUUUCUGAAUUUUCCCCCAGCUCUACAAUAUCCUUUUUGAGGCAAGGUCAUCAGAAUGGUAUAUUAGUAUUCCAAGCACAGUCCCACCAUAGAUUUGUAAGUAAGAAUGUGCCAUAGAUCUGGUGCAUUCACUUCUUUCCUCUGCAAUGCUUGCACAGUAGUGUCUAGAUAUCAAUAAAGGCAAAUGACUAACACAGCUAUCAUCCACCAGUACCUAAAGGCUUUGACCUUGAGCAGUAUUACGGUAGCUCUUGCUACCAAUGCUGCUGACCUAUUACUUAGCAGAGGUGAUGGUGAGGAGAGGCUACCUUGUGCCUGCACUGUGACUGCAUGCUACCAUAUAUUGAUGUUUGAUUCACAAUUGGACCUGUAUUUCUAGAGAACAGAUGCUUGUUACACAGCUCUUUGCAAGCUAGUGAGGAACAUCAGGCAGUGUCUAGCCAUGAGGGCAGGAUCCAGCCCCUGCUUUGUAGGCCAUAAUAUGCACAGUUUAAAUGUGUCUGGACGAGUCUGGAAUGUAUAUGUGGGUGUGUUUGAUACACACAGUCAUACUGGCAAUCACAGUUUGUCAACCAAUGUUCCCAGUUCCAUUUGGCAAGGCUUGGAGAUUCAUUGCACAAGCGAAGCAAACUGAAGUUCAUUAGAUGAAACAACUUUUUCAUAUUCUUCCUUGGAAGGAAAGAAAAAGAAGUCUAGCUAGACACUUCCAGUUCUGUUACAGUAGUAUGGGUUUCUUUUACACUAUAUACUGUACUAUGCAGGCAGAAACUUGCCUUGCUGGAUGUUGUUUAAUUCAAAAUUGCUCAAGUGCUGUAUAUUGGGGGCUGUUGUCAAGGUGGCUUGCAAGUUGUUCUUGGAAGCUAUUUUUUUUUUAUUUGAUGUCUUUCAUUACUUUUAAUUAAAACACUGGAGGCAUUUUGGGUUUUGUUUCCUAAAAAGAUUGCAGUAGUAUUAGUGCUUCAGAACUACCAAGGUUGGGAGCCGAAAUUCAGUGUGCAUCAAUAUGAGUUUCAACACACACAAUAAGAGCAGGCAUAAUAUUAGAUUCAUUUUUUUUAUUUCGAUUCAGAUAUUGUAACCUUAGGUCUAUAUAAUAUGAAACAGAUAAUUAAGGCUUCAGCUCUAAACACACCUACUUUAAAAUGAAUCACUUUGAAACUGAAGGUGAGGACUUAAGACAGGAGUGGAUAACCUGGACUACAACUCCGUGACUACUGAGAAUGCUGGCUGGGAAUGAUGGAAGAUGAGCUUCCAAUACCAUCUGAAGGACCACAGGUUUCCCACUCCUGGUUGAAAGCAUAUUGGAUUCCAAAACUAAAUAUAUAGCAACACAAUCCUAAGCAUAUCUAUUCAGAAGUCCCUUUGUGUUCAUUAGGGUUUACUCUCAGUUAUAGGAUCACUGCGUAAGUUCCUGUUCUGCCACAGAUCAACAAUCAUCCAACACUAUGAAGUGUUCUCUUAGAAAGUCUGGGUCCCCUUUGUAAAUUUGCAUACUAGCAGGUAUGUAUGGGUUAUCUCCAAUUGUCUUCUUGCUCAAAAAAUGGUUGCGAAGACAGCAUAACAGUAUCCACAACUACACUGAUAAGGAGCAAGUGGAAAAAAGGCAACAUGGAUUCUUCUGUAAGAGUUGGCUCCCUUUUUGGAGCAGUUAUUAGUGUAGGAACCAAGGAAAGACCAUGUGGCAGGAGGAAAUGCAGCAUACUUUAGGGCAUGGCUGACCAACCUCUGGGCUAAAGCUCCCAUCUUCCUUGACUAUUGGCCUUGCUGGCUGGGGCAGAUGAGAGCUGGAGUGAAACCACAUCUGGAGGUGCACACGUCAGCCACCCCUACUUUAAGGUCAUCACACACUUUGUGUUCAGGAGGCCCCAGUUCCCCAGUUCUGAGGACUUGAAAUGCCAGGGCCCAGAAGUACUUAGGCUCUAGAGAGCUCCUGCCAGCCCGAAUACACCAUAUAGUAGGCUGGAUGGACCAAUGACCUGAUUCAGUAUGCAGGGCAGUUUCAUAUAAUCAGAAUAUAUGAAGAUAAUAUUGGCUAUGGAAAUAUAUCCACAACGAAUGCGGAUACAGCUGAGAAGAGGGCAUGGACUUGCCUUGACAGACAGAGAAAUCACAAUUGCAUCUGUCAUAGGGAUCAGCAUGGCACAAGAUUUAGGGAGGGGAAUGGCACAUGAAGCAGGAAUUGAGAAAGAGGAACAAAAGACACAAAAGCGGGAAUAGAAGAAAGGAAGAAAUCAGCAUAGGGUGAGUCAAUCGACAAACCAUCAUUAUAAAGCAACCCACUAUUUACAUCUCCUAGCCUUACCCCCACCCCAGCAUUUGAAAUAUAAGGGUUGCCUAUUUUUAUCCCAGCCUUAAAAAAAUAGACCCUCAAGGUGGCUCACAAUAGUUUAAGUACAACAAAAUCAAACCAUUCAGAAUAACCUUUAAAAGACAAAAAAAGAGAACUAAGCAGUAGCCAGUAGCAGCACAGCAGAGAGACCAAAUUGCUCUUGUAGCAGUAUCCAUGUGAAGCUCCCUAUGUACUCAAGAAAUGCAAAAUAAAUGUUAAGUACCAUUAUUACUGAGGUAGCAAUUAUUGUUGAACUUUUUGUUUGCAGAUGACAGUAAAACUCUUGAUUUUAAAAUGCCAUAAUGGUUUAAGAAGGCAGCUUGCCAGAGGCUUUCUCUAUUAUAUUUCAGUGCAUUAAGCAGCAAGAGGAAGCAAACACUCACAUUUAUAAAGUGUUGCAAUGAAAUGGUGGCAGAGCCCGUCUGCCGCUCUUCGGUAACUGCAGGAGGGGUCCACAGAAACCUCUCUCACCGCCACCAAAUUUGAGUUUUGCCUCAAGUCAAAUAAAGUUUCAACAGAUAUUUGGCAGCUGCUCCAGUCAUGCAGCUACUAGCCACUCGUUCCAUAACCUAGUCACUCCGUCAAAUGCUUUUGACAAGCUGGAUCUUGAGAAAAUGUAAAAUCAACAACAUUCACAUAUGUAUUCCCGUAAGCUUUCAGCAGUGGAUUCUGUACUGACACCAACGCCAGCUUGGUGAAUGUUAGAAAUGAUACUAAGUUUCUUUCUGCAGAAGUGGUGAUCUGUUGCAACAGGCACAACAAAGACUAACAAUCCUUAUGCCAUUAAUAAAUGUGCUACACUGUGUUGUAUUUAUUCUGCCACAGCUUGGGACUGGUAUUUGUGCUUUGAUUCAAGACAUCCUAGCUGCAUUGUAGGGUUUCUAGUCUAAAACUGAUGGCAGAGCCCAUUGUGCAGUACAACUGCAGUAGUAAGAUUCACAUGUGAGACUGUCUGGAACUGAUGGAAAACUGAACAUGGGGUAUAAUGGUGAAUCUGAGAGCUAGUAGUACUUGCAAUCACACUGUGAUAUAAUUAUACAUGUGAUGAUGAUGGUGGUGGUGAUGAUGAUGAUAUUAACUAUUAGCAGCAGCAGCUGUUGUUUAGUCGUUUAGUCGUGUCCGACUCUUCGGACCAGAGCACGCCAGGCACUCCUGUCUUCCACUGCCUCCCGCAGUUGCAGCAGCAUUAGUAGCAGCAUUAAAAACAGAAGCCACAUCAUACACUAACCCAACUGCAUUUGUUAAGAAUAAUAAUGAAUAAUAAUAAUGUAAUGCUGAAGUGUCCAUUUUUACCUUCAAGGAAGCUACACUUAUAUAGCAAUAAAUAAGACAGAAGGGGGAACUGGGAAGAUUUCUGAGCACAAUAUACAUUAGUUGGGCAGUGAAACAUCUUUUCAAUAGUUAGGAAUAAAUCUUAAAUCUUUAAUAUCUCUUGCAGUCUCAUUUUAAUCGCAUCAUAAAAUAUUACAUGGUAUGAGCAGUGGUGUAAGGGUGCAGGUUCCUAAUUUCUGGUCUGUUCUGAGAAGCUGGCUGGGGCUCAGCAUUUGUGGAUUGGGGGGCUGCUGGCUUUUGAAUUAGAUUUUCUGUGAAAAUUCACAUCCAAAUUCUGAUCAAAUAUUGUGGACCCAGCAUAUUUCCAAAGCAUGGUCUGGAAAUUCCGGUGACUAUACCAAAAUCUGCCACUUAUUAUAUUGGUCAUGUGUAGGAAUGGGUGAGAAAUCGGAUUCAGUACACAUUUAAAGGCAAAUCUAUUGAGCUUCCGCUUUCCACAACAAUGCACAAACUGAAACACAGAUAGAUAACCUUCAAUAGUUGCACUUAUCUGAAUUUUGCGAUGCAAUUAUCUAACCCACAAUGCUUACAACAAUGCAUAUUUCAUGGGGAAGUGUGCACAAAAAUGAGUAUGUCAAUGAAAAUAACUUACAAAUAUAUAUAUUAGGGAGGAAAUGCAAAAAAUGUGUACAUUAGUCAAAACUGCAUAUCUCAGGAAUUUUCAUAAGGGUUUUUCCCUUUUAAAAAUCCACAAAUCACUGUUGAAAUUUAUCACUGCUGAAAUGUGGAGAACAGACUUUCAGAUGGGAAAAAAUGAGAAAUGGAGAGAAUCAAAAUGGACAGAUCCUUCUAUUCCUAGUGAUGUGCGAAAUCUGCAUAGACUGAACCAAGCCCUAACUGUCCACCCCUAACCACUGUUGCCUCACUCCAGGUACAAAAGAUGCCUAAAUUUAGGAUGUCAAGUAACUCAUUUUUAGUACUAUUUGGACUAGCCUUGAUUUUUCAGUUUGAUUUUUCUCCCCUGACCCAACAGUAGCUUAGACUCAGGGCUCUUCCUUGAAGGCUGAUUCUCUAUCGCCAAGUGGUGAGUGGAAUUCUAUUGCCAUUUCUCUUAGCAGCCUCUUGCCCCAGGCUCUAACACAUACAUCCUCAACUUCCUUUUGCUCGACAGUUGUACUAGGGAAAAAAGUUGAUAAAAGCAGUUCUAAGCCUUUGAAGAUAAUUCAUACAUUGGUUAACAGCUGUAAUAAAAGGAGCAAAAAUUACAGCACAGCUCCCGGCACCUAACAUUAAAGACCAUUGCAUUUUAUAAAGCCAAUAAAUCAAACAUUCUUAGACUACAACUUCUGGUUAAAAUCAAGAUAAUUGGUGCAUCACCCAUUCUCAUAAUGACAGCAAAAAAUGGACCCUUGAAAGAAUUAUGAUUUUCAGAACCUGUACUUAAAAAAUAAAAAACAACAACCCCAAACUAAGCAAAUAUGUGUAACUUCCUCAGGCUCAAUAUAUUAGGUACUGCUCCUGUCCAAGCAAGAUUCACUGAAAUUUGACAUUGCUAGAGCUCUCCUGUCUUAUGGAUACUCACAGCAGGUGAUGUUUCAGGAUGGGAUAAGAGAAAAUCAAGCUGUGUUAGUUUAAUGUAAACUUAAGUCUCAUCCAGCCUAGCAAUGCAUCUGUAGAAAUUAUCAGAUCACUUAAUCCCCUGUGCAGGGCAGACUAUGGGCAGAUUCAGGAAACAGUGUGAGUUAGGUUUAGAGAAGGACAAGACCUUUGUCAGCUGGUCUACAAGAGUAGUUAGUCAGGUGACUGCCUGACUGCAAAUGAGGUACCAACUGAAGCCUAGAAGUAUACCAGAUCUGCCUUUUCAGCACUAGAAAGCCUACAGCUGAAUGAGGCUGUGAAUUCUCUCUACUCCAGGUAGUCUCGAUAGCAGACUGCCCGGUGUGCAGUUGUUCUCAAGUGCUUUUUCUCCCCUCAAGUCACUGUGUUGACUGAGCGAAUUAAUGAAUGAAUGAUUAGGAGCUAAGUGCAAAGCUAUCGUGAAACAGCAUAACAUUCACUUAAAUAAACUAAAGGUGCUCUCAGAUAUGCUAAGGCAGCCCAGAAAACUCAUGUUGUUAUCAGAUGCAGAAUGUUUGGACAGUUCUUUCCAAACCCAGCAUAUACAGUGGUACCUCGGGUUAAGUACUUAAUUCGUUCUGGAGGUCCCUUCUUAACCUGAAACUGUUCUUAACCUGAAGCACCACUUUAGCUAAUGGGGCCUCCUGCCACCGCUGUGCUGCCGCUGCAUGAUUUCUGUUCUCAUCCUGAAGCACAGUUCUUAACCCGAGGUACUAUUUCUGGGUUAGCAGAGUCUGUAAUCUUUUUUUUUAAAAAAAAUAUUUUUUAUUAACAGACCAAUCAAAUCACAUAAAUUCCGAAUUACAGAGUUUAAUUUUAAAUUUUUGUUGAGGGUACCCAUAUUUCAAGUUCUGAAAGGGAUCCAAUCCUCUUGUUGCUUCUGCUUUAAAAGUCCACAAAUCUGUCCAAAUAAUGUUCACAAUUCUGUCCAAUCCUUUCUUGCUGUUUUCCACAUCUCUUCUAGUUGUUUUCAUAUAUUUUUCCUUUCUCUUUGUCUUUGUGGCCUCUGAUAGUCUCCAUAAGCGUGUUGAAACAAAUUUGUAUUCCUGUGUGGAUUUUUCCGUUCGUUCAAGAGUCAUAUUUCAGACAGCUGCCGUAUUUCAUCGCUUCCAUAAAGAAAAACAUUCUUGCUGUCUACUCAAACUUUUCACAGGUCUGUCCCUCUUUCUCAACUGUUCUUAACCUGAAGCACCACUUUAGCUAAUGGGGCCUCCUGCUGCCGCUGCGCCACCGGAGCACGAUUUCUGUUCUCAUCCUUAAGCAAAGUUCUUAACCCGAGGUUCUAUUUCUGGGUUAGCAGAGUCUGUAACCUGAAGCGUCUGUAACCUGAAGCGUAUGUAACCCGAGGUACCACUGUAAAUGAAGUUACUUCUGCAUUGACCAGAUGUCACAUAAUCACACGUCCAGUGGAACAGUCAGUUCCGCCAUUGUGAAACUUUUCUGUUGACUGGAUUUUAUAGUUAGCUGUUGAGGCCCUGCUCUCUGGUUUGUCAGUAAGAGGUUGAUGGUUACCAAUGAUGGUUACCAGUGGUGGCCCCACACAUGUCAAAUUCUCUUCCCCAUGACAUAUGAGUCACUUCAUCUUUGGAAGCUUUUUUAAAAACAAACAUUAAUUUCUAGUGAUAUUAACUGGGACUGUUCUAUUAGUAAGGUGUAAUGUGGUUUAUAUUGCAUGAUAAUUUUGUUAUGUUUCAUGACUAUUAUUACUGUAUAUUUAGAAAAUCUUACAUCAUCUUGAAAGAUUUGACUGAGCCCUCCAAGCCAGUCUGUAAACCAAGUUACAAAUAAUUAGUUGCAGCAAAUACCAUGAAGCUGGCUUAGAAAAUUAGCUUAGCUGGGCAGAAGUUUUUAUUUAUGUGGCAAACCCUUUCAUAUGAAAGGGUUGGUAGGGAUGUAACUCCCAGCUGGUGAACACCGAGACAAUUUAACCAUAAACCUGAUGUGUGAUAAAUAGUAUCCUGUCAGCAGAUUACUGAUAAAGAAGGGAGUGGUUGUGCUACAGAUGAAAGAAAGUAAGAUUAUAACCAGUUGGAAGUCUGUAAAAUACUGUGCUUAUCUCUGUUGUAUAAAAGGGAUUUUUUUUUUUAAAUGUGGGACUAUAACACAAACAAUUUCAUACUGAUAUAAUAAAUACUCAAGGCCUCAACCAUUUUCAGAUUACAGUUGCAAUAAAGGUAUGCAAAUUUAAUUACUGUUUCAGAUCAUAAAGCUCUGGGUAUUCAAACUCUGGUUACUCUGUGCAGUCACCUCUUCUCAGAGGGACAUAAAGCAAGCUCAGGGAGACCAGUCAAAACAGAUACAUUAUCAUGGAGCUUCCUCAAACAGAGGCCUCGUUUUCCCUAUACAGUCAUACCUCGGGUUGAAUACGCUUCGAGUUGAGCGUGUUCGAGUUGCGCUCCGCGGCAACCCAGAAGUAACGGAGUGCGUUACUUCAGGGUUUCGCCACUUGCGCAUGUGCAGAUGCUCAAAAUGACAUCACACGCAUGCCCAGAAGUGACGAAAAGCAAUGUGCGCGUGCACAGACCUGCCGUUGCUAGUUACGUUUGCUUCUAGAUGCGAACGGGGCUCCGGAAUGGAUCCCGUUUGUAUCUAGAGGUACCACUGUACAUUUAAAGCCCUUGAAGCAAUCAUGGUUUAUCCCAACGAAUCCUGGGAACUGUAGUUUGUGAAGCACUGCAAGCUGUUAGGACGUCACUUUUCCUCUCCCAGUUCUAAAAUUUUCAUAGCACCUCAACAGUUAAUCCCUCCCCCCACUGCACUCUGGGAUUGUAGCUCUGUGAUGAGAAGAAGAAUAGUAUAAUUAUUGCUUAUAAUGCAAUGAAUACAAUCAUAUAAGAUUAGUGUGAGAGAUUUGGGCAGACACGUUAAAAUCGACUUCUGCUCCUGUUCUUCUCAUCAUUUUUGGGCCCAAGUAAAAGGUUUUAUGGUAUUUUUGGCAGUAACAUAGCUUUUGUUGAACCUCAAAAGGAAGGAAGUUUCACAACUGGUUCUAAAUGUGUGCAACCAGGUUAAUUCAGAAUGUGCUCACGUCGUCACUUCACCUCCCUACCAGUUCUGUUCCCUGCACCUUCCUACCACAGGAGCACUGGAUGCUGGUAUAUUAGGGUGAGGGGGGCACUGUCCUGUCAACAUCACUCCGCCCCUGGCCACUCCCCACUUGUUUGCCUUCAUGCUUACAACCAGUCUAGGGGAUGGCACUGCCUGUCAGUUUCCUCCUCCUUAAUCUCAUUGUUCAGAGGUGGAUUUGGGAAGCACGACUAUUUCGGUCACACUGGGCACUGAGCCUCCGGGGCACUGCAGAGGGUGCCACAACUAUGAUUGAGAAUGGAGCAUGCGAGGUGGGAGGGCACUGAAUUUUGCUGUUGCACAGGGCACUGCUAAAAUUUGAGAACCCAAGGUCCACCAUGGCAGUGUAGGCCUUGUAAAACUCAGCAGGGAGAGGGAUGGGAGCAGAAGAUGGGAGCAGAAUUAGUUGACUAUGCUGGUAAUUGACUUUGGGUCUGCCUGCUGUUGGCCCUUCCACCUUCUGCCCAACCAAUCCCAAUGGUAGGUGUAGAUCAAAAGGAGUUUUCUUAAUCUAGCCAUGGAUGCCAGUGUUCACUCCUCCUCUUUGAUAUGUUCAGGUGGCUGGUACAACUUAAGUUGCCUUUGAGGCUGUGCAAUGGCUGUGGCAUCCUACUACUGAAGACUUAAAAAACAGAAAAGAAGCUCUCUGAAUUGGGAUGUAUUGCUGGCUUUCUGCAGAAGUGGUCUCUACCAAUCAGCUCUUAAGGAGAGGACUGUGAUUAGAGCCAUUCAUCAAAGACAUUUUAAAAAGUGUUAUAAUGGUGACAUAACAUGGGGUGGGGUGGGUCACAUAAGUGGGGUGGGUCAUUUCAAUCAUGUGGACUGGUUUUUCCCGUUUUCCCAUCAUUGUUAUUGUGGUUUUAUAAGGUGCAGUAGAUUCCCUUCAACCAUAACCAAAUUGCCCACAUGAUAAGUCAAAACUUUUCUUAUCUUCUUUUUUCUGAAGAUUUUCCGCAGACCAAAAGAGAAAGAUGGAAAAUGAUUUCCCAAUACUGUGCAAACCACUUCAUUUAAAUUCCAUAUGUUGCUCCGAAAAUCAAUGAUACGGCAAAAGAAAAAAUCAGAUUGUUAGAGCGAAUCUUGUUUUAUACCUGUUUUGUUUAAUAAUAAGGCUUUAUUAAUGCACUUGAUUUAACCAAGUGAUCCAACCACUAAACUGUGUUUAUAGUGUGAUACUAAAUAACAUCAAACACGCUUCAUGGUGAGCUACCUUAAUUGAGUUCAUAAAAUGUGCUCUGACUUCAUUACGAUUUGUAAAUUGCUUAGAUGCACAUGAUGCAACGAUAACCAAAUAUUUUCCCUAAUCAUUUGAAAUAAAUAUAGCCAAUGUGGUUCAUUUCAAAAGAGAGUUAGCUCGGCUGCAUUUUCUAGGUCAUUUAGUUCCUCGCCUUUUGGGUUACCAGGGUGUGAAGGAGAUUUCAAUAUAUUUUAAGGAGCUUCUUGCACAUGACUCACAAACGGUAUGCUUUUGGACUUGGGAAUGGGGUGAAAUAGCCCAUAGAAAGACUGAGGUACCCUGUAAGCCUUCUUGUAGUUUGUGGGCCUAAAAAGAAAAAAGAAAAAAUAUUGGUGGGGGAAGCAAAGCUUUCCCUUACCCUAUCCAGGUAAGCUGCAGAAACACUGGCACAUCAGCUGUUACUGGCAGGUUGGUUAAAACAUACCUAUUCACAAGGGCAUCCACCAGGCUUACCAGAAAUGCAUAACACUGCUGCUGUUUUCAUAAUAUUUAUUUAUACCCUGCCUUUUUCCAUGACAGGACUCAAGGUGGCUUACAGGUGAAAAUAAGAGCCGCUGAAAACAAAGGGGGUAUCAUUAAAAAGCAAUGAAACAUUGAUAGAAUUAAAACUACAGACAUAUGAAAUCUAUUAAUUUUUUUAAAUGAUAUUUAUUGAGAAUUUUAAAAUUACAAAGAAAAAAGGAAAAAAACAAGAGAAAGAGAAAAAAGAAAGAAAGAAAAGGGUAGAUAAAAAUAACAAUUAAACAAUACAAAUCAAUAAAAACCAAAGUCAAAAAGAGAAAACAAAACACACAAUACAUCAAAAGCAAAAAGCAAAAAUAAACAAAAAAAUUAAAAACAUAUCCAAUAUUCCCAAAUCCUUAACUUUCAUUAUCUUAUUUCAUCAACCUCCUCACACCUCCCUUUUUUGUAUUCUAGUUGUUAAUUAUCUCAGCAAAUCCUUUCCAUCUUUCACAAUAUUCUGUCAUUAAAUUAUCUUAAUCUAUUUUAACCUUAUCUUGCCAUAAAAAACCUUAAAGCUUAAAACUUAAAUCUUAUUUAUACCAAAUUCUUUUAACCAUAACAUAUUCUUACAUAAUUCUUUUUAACAUUUCUGCUAAAGCCAAAUAAUUUCAUUCCAACAUUUUUCUAAUACUCAUUAAUUUUACGAUACUUUUCUAAAUAAUUUUUUAAAACUUUCUUCCAAUCUUUAUCCAUCGUCUCUUCUUCCUGGUCUCGGGUUUUGUCAGUCCUUUCUAUCCCAUCCAUCUAGUCCAUCAACCUGGUGACCUUGUAUCCGAGGCUCUUAAGUCUUUUCCAUGUCCCUUCCGCAGAUCUUCUUCAUGUUUAUACCUGUACUUUACUUUGUCUUCUGCUGAUCUUAUUCUUAAUUUCCUUCCUUUCACUCGGGGAGACUCCAACUUGACAAUAUCUUUGUCCCCUCUCGACAAGUCAGCCCCUUUUCCAUAGUCAACACUGAAAUCCAUAUAGUAUUUAAAGGCAUGUUUCAAAGUCCCUCCAAAGUUAAGGGCCCCCACAACUCCGAACUCCCCCGGCCCAAAGCCAGACUCGAAAGGUCAAAACAUCCCUGCAUAGGGGGAUCCAUCCAGCCCCCCAUCUCCAAGCCAAACAGAACUCCAUCUCUCCAAAUCUGACUUUUUCCAGGUUCAUUCGUCAAAUCCAACAACUCAUGUUCCUGCUGGGCCACAGCUCUCUCCAUUUCUGCUACUUGAGGUUCAGCAACAACCUCCUCCUUUAUCUGAUCUGUCAAAGCACAUUCCUGGAUUAAUUCCUGAGUGGGUUCUAUAUAGGUACCCACUGCCUGUCCAAAAUUUCCGACCG